GCUCGCUUUGACAGCCCAUAAGCUAAGCUUGGCACAAUACAGAGUUCAGCACAACCCUUGUGCCAGGAUGAUACCCCAAAUGGUGAAGUGUUCCAUGUUCUU
Small nuclear RNA from Sciurus vulgaris (Eurasian red squirrel), 102 nucleotides. NCBI's taxonomy places the organism in Eukaryota, Metazoa, Chordata, Mammalia, Rodentia, Sciuridae. The record is from Ensembl.